This 499-nucleotide ribosomal RNA is filed under the name uncultured bacterium. RNAcentral's name for it is "partial 16S ribosomal RNA". It matches the Rfam family "Bacterial small subunit ribosomal RNA", at positions 30 to 523 of the family's 1533-position model. The record is from RNAcentral.
AUUGAACGCUGGCGGCAGGCUUAACACAUGCAAGUCGAGCGGGGUGAUGGUGCUUGCACUAUCACUUAGCGGCGGACGGGUGAGUAAUGCUUAGGAAUCUGCCCUGAAGUGGGGGAUAACUUGGGGAAACUCAAGCUAAUACCGCAUAGACCUAAGGGUGAAAGAUGGGGAUCUUCGGACCUAUCGCUUCAGGAGGAGCCUGCGUCGGAUUAGCUAGUUGGUAGGGUAAAGGCCUACCAAGGCGACGAUCCGUAGCUGGUCUGAGAGGAUGACCAGCCACACUGGGACUGAGACACGGCCCAGACUCCUACGGGAGGCAGCAGUGGGGAAUAUUGGACAAUGGGCGCAAGCCUGAUCCAGCCAUGCCGCGUGUGUGAAGAAGGCUCUAGGGUUGUAAAGCACUUUAAGUUGUGAGGAAGUUAUGUGUGUAAAUAAUGCGCAUAAUUGACGUUAGCAACAAAAUAAGCACCGGCUAACUCCGUGCCAGCCGCCGCGGUAA